This 896-nucleotide unclassified non-coding RNA is filed under the name Hevea brasiliensis (rubber tree). The record is from RNAcentral. Lineage: Eukaryota; Viridiplantae; Streptophyta; Magnoliopsida; Malpighiales; Euphorbiaceae.
AUGGAACUAACAAACUCUAACCUCACAAGUUAAUAAAGGUAUUACAAAAAAUGAUCAAGCUAUAAACUGCAAUAUACUAACACAUUAAUCUGAUUCAAAAUAUCACUAGCAAAGAGAAAAGCAUGUAAAUUAAGAAGCAAGCAUACGCGAUCAGCCCGCGAUGUUCAUCUCCACAAGAUGCAAGUUCAACCACAAGCCUAGUGCAAACUCGAGUUGACCAUAACACAAAAACUCCGGUAACCACCUUGAUCACCAAUCCACCAGGCAAAAACAAUGAGAUAGCCGAUAAAAUCACUAUAGGCAACAUACAAUAUCCGAUCAGGCUGACGCACCUGUACAAGUCCAAAUUCCCGUUUCUGCCGGCGAGCAUAUUGAAGACUACAUAGAGAAACAACGAAGCCAUGAUUACCCAUCCCAAUAUGAUUCCAAAAUGAAGCUUUCCAGCAAGUAAUUGGAAAAGCCCGAACGCCAUAAGGAAUAUGAACGGUCCAGAGAGAUCAGCAUCUUCAUGAAGAUCUGCUUUAACCCGAAAUGGAUUCAUAAUCGAUAUAGUUUUUUGGUAAAUUUGCUUUGUGUUAAUUCCAAGCUCCUCCAGCAACGGUGGCUCAUCUUCAAAACCCGUCGAUCCUCCGCCGCCGAUGGUGGUGGAUGCGAAUUGUGGAGUGGAAAAUGAAGUGGAAGCAGCAGCAGACCCUACAUCAAAGGACAUGAAAGGUAUCCCAGGGUUCGAUGACUUCGGUGGUUGAAACGGCGCCGUUGGAAGCCGACGUUGUUGUGGACCGGGGUUUCCGCCGGACGGGAAAACUACCGGCGGGACGUUAAAUUCCUUCGCCAUUGAUCGGAGAUCAAAUUAAGUGAAUAAUUUGAAUAAUUUUUCCAAUAGUAAUUGAAGAUCU